RNAcentral lists this non-coding RNA (30 nucleotides) under Homo sapiens (human). The record is from RNAcentral. Lineage: Eukaryota; Metazoa; Chordata; Mammalia; Primates; Hominidae.
UGGGAACUUCUCCAGUCUACCAAGAGGGUA